GAACGAUGAAGCCGGAGCUUGCUCUGGUGGAUUAGUGGCGAACGGGUGAGUAACACGUGAGUAACCUGCCCCUGACUCUGGGAUAAGCGCUGGAAACGGCGUCUAAUACCGGAUAUGCGCUGUAACCGCAUGGUUUGCAGCGGGAAAGAUUUAUCGGUUGGGGAUGGACUCGCGGCCUAUCAGCUUGUUGGUGAGGUAAUGGCUCACCAAGGCGUCGACGGGUAGCCGGCCUGAGAGGGUGACCGGCCACACUGGGACUGAGACACGGCCCAGACUCCUACGGGAGGCAGCAGUGGGGAAUAUUGCACAAUGGGCGCAAGCCUGAUGCAGCAACGCCGCGUGAGGGAUGACGGCCUUCGGGUUGUAAACCUCUUUUAGCAGGGAAGAAGCCUUCGGGUGACGGUACCUGCAGAAAAAGCGCCGGCUAACUACGUGCCAGCAGCCGCGGUAAUACGUAGGGCGCAAGCGUUAUCCGGAAUUAUUGGGCGUAAAGAGCUCGUAGGCGGUUUGUCACGUCUGCUGUGAAAACUGGAGGCUCAACCUCCAGCCUGCAGUGGGUACGGGCAGACUAGAGUGCGGUAGGGGAGAUUGGAAUUCCUGGUGUAGCGGUGGAAUGCGCAGAUAUCAGGAGGAACACCGAUGGCGAAGGCAGAUCUCUGGGCCGUUACUGACGCUGAGGAGCGAAAGGGUGGGGAGCAAACAGGCUUAGAUACCCUGGUAGUCCACCCCGUAAACGUUGGGAACUAGUUGUGGGGGCUUUUCUACGGUCUCCGUGACGCAGCUAACGCAUUAAGUUCCCCGCCUGGGGAGUACGGCCGCAAGGCUAAAACUCAAAGGAAUUG
Molecule: ribosomal RNA, 842 nt
Filed under: Microbacterium sp.
Lineage: Bacteria; Bacillati; Actinomycetota; Actinomycetes; Micrococcales; Microbacteriaceae
Description: bacterial SSU rRNA
Rfam family: Bacterial small subunit ribosomal RNA
Source: RNAcentral